RNAcentral lists this ribosomal RNA (998 nucleotides) under Enterobacter sp. sxmmtc3. Its description in RNAcentral is "bacterial SSU rRNA". It matches the Rfam family "Bacterial small subunit ribosomal RNA", at positions 458 to 1533 of the family's 1533-position model. The record is from RNAcentral. Lineage: Bacteria; Pseudomonadati; Pseudomonadota; Gammaproteobacteria; Enterobacterales; Enterobacteriaceae.
AACCUUGUCGAUUGACGUUACCCGCAGAAGAAGCACCCGGCUACUCCGUGCCAGCAGCCGCGGUAAUACGGAGGGUGCAAGCGUUAAUCGGAUUUACUGGGCGUAAAGCGCACGCAGGCGGUCUGUCAAGUCGGAUGUGAAAUCCCCGGGCUCAACCUGGGAACUGCAUUCGAAACUGGCAGGCUAGAGUCUUGUAGAGGGGGGUAGAAUUCCAGGUGUAGCGGUGAAAUGCGUAGAGAUCUGGAGGAAUACCGGUGGCGAAGGCGGCCCCCUGGACAAAGACUGACGCUCAGGUGCGAAAGCGUGGGGAGCAAACAGGAUUAGAUACCCUGGUAGUCCACGCCGUAAACGAUGUCGACUUGGAGGUUGUGCCCUUGAGGCGUGGCUUCCGGAGCUAACGCGUUAAGUCGACCGCCUGGGGAGUACGGCCGCAAGGUUAAAACUCAAAUGAAUUGACGGGGGCCCGCACAAGCGGUGGAGCAUGUGGUUUAAUUCGAUGCAACGCGAAGAACCUUACCUACUCUUGACAUCCAGAGAACUUUCCAGAGAUGGAUUGGUGCCUUCGGGAACUUUGAGACAGGUGCUGCAUGGCUGUCGUCAGCUCGUGUUGUGAAAUGUUGGGUUAAGUCCCGCAACGAGCGCAACCCUUAUCCUUUGUUGCCAGCGGUUAGGCCGGGAACUCAAAGGAGACUGCCAGUGAUAAACUGGAGGAAGGUGGGGAUGACGUUACCAAGUCACCUUGGGUUUUAUCCCUGGUUUGUUGUUACAAAGUUACCCUUGGAUUUUAUCCCUGGUCCGUUGUUAAAAAGUUACCGUUGGGUUUGAUCCCGGGUCAGUUGUUACAAAGUAGCCGUUGAGUUUGAUCCCGGGUCAGUUGUAACAAAGUAGCCGUUGAGUUUGAUCCUGGCUCAGUUGUAACAAGGUAGCCGUAGAGUUUGAUCCUGGCUCAGUCGUAACAAGGUAGCCGUAGAGUUUGAUCCUGGCUCAGUCGUAACAAG